RNAcentral lists this ribosomal RNA (384 nucleotides) under uncultured eukaryote. RNAcentral describes it as "partial 18S ribosomal RNA". It matches the Rfam family "Eukaryotic small subunit ribosomal RNA", at positions 592 to 977 of the family's 1831-position model. The record is from RNAcentral.
CAAUAGCGUAUAUUAAAGUUGUUGCGGUUAAAAAGCUCGUAGUUGGAUCUCGGCAGGCAGGGGGUGGUUCGCUCUUAGCGCUACUGCCCCAUUUGCCUGUGUGAUUGGCGGAGGUUUCGGGGUGCUCUUCGUUGAGUGACCCGGGGCGCCGUCAGGUUUACUUUGAAAAAAUUAGAGUGCUCAAAGCAGGCUUUUCACGCUUGAAUAUUCGUGCAUGGAAUAAUGGAAUAGGAACUCGUUUCUAUUUUGUUGGUUUUCGGAAAUCGAGUUAAUGAUUAAUAGGGACAAUUGGGGGCAUUAGUAUUCAGACGACAGAGGUGAAAUUCUUGGACCGUCUGAAGACUAACUACUGCGAAAGCAUUUGCCAAGAGUGUUUUCAUUAAU